AUGAUGCUGUGGGAAACGAAAUCGCGAGCGUUUUCAAAGAAUUUGUGCAAUUUCUACUCUCUCGAUCGGGCUGGAGCAAUCUGUUGAUUUAAGGUGUUACAAUGAAAAAAUCUGGCUAAUCAAUCUGUAUGCAGCUCAGGGCGAUGGAAGUCGGCAGAAUCGGUGACGUGCUAAAACCGUUCAACCCCUGUGAGAAGUUGUACCUGCCUUGAAGUCAUUCGAGACAGUUUGUUGCUGGACGCGAAUCGGCAUUUGAUUAUUAUAGUAAUGAUAGGAUUAUGUCAAACUGUACAUAGAGUUGUAAGCAAUAAAAACGGUCAAAUCAAAAUCUGAUUUUAUAUUUAAUUCACAACAAAAUCCGAAAGAUGGCGCCACUGGUCCAAAACAUCACGAUUGACUCAUAGAUGUCGCUAGUGAACGCAUCGCUCCGUUGCGGUACCCUUUCAAAAGGGUACUACGCCAGUACCCUUUCGAAGGGUUUCGCCCCCGUACCCUUUCAAAAGGGUGACGACGGGUAAACUUGAAAAAAGGAUAGAAAGUACCCUUUUAAGGGUUAUUCUGAUUUUGA
Molecule: long non-coding RNA, 568 nt
Organism: Culex pipiens pallens (northern house mosquito)
Lineage: Eukaryota; Metazoa; Arthropoda; Insecta; Diptera; Culicidae
Exons: 3
Source: RefSeq, a predicted model, not a curated record